GAUGAACGCUGGCGGCGUGCCUAAUACAUGCAAGUCGAGCGAACGGACGAGAAGCUUGCUUUUCUGAUGUUAGCGGCGGACGGGUGAGUAACACGUGGAUAACCUACCUAUAAGACUGGGAUAACUUCGGGAAACCGGAGCUAAUACCGGAUAAUAUUUUGAACCGCAUGGUUCAAAAGUGAAAGACGGUCUUGCUGUCACUUAUAGAUGGAUCCGCGCUGCAUUAGCUAGUUGGUAAGGUAACGGCUUACCAAGGCAACGAUGCAUAGCCGACCUGAGAGGGUGAUCGGCCACACUGGAACUGAGACACGGUCCAGACUCCUACGAGAGGCAGCAGUAGGGAAUCUUCCGCAAUGGGCGAAAGCCUGACGGAGCAACGCCGCGUGAGUGAUGAAGGUCUUCGGAUCGUAAAACUCUGUUAUUAGGGAAGAACAUAUGUGUAAGUAACUGUGCACAUCUUGACGGUACCUAAUCAGAAAGCCACGGCUAACUACGUGCCAGCAGCCGCGGUAAUACGUAGGUGGCAAGCGUUAUCCGGAAUUAUUGGGCGUAAAGCGCGCGUAGGCGGUUUUUUAAGUCUGAUGUGAAAGCCCACGGCUCAACCGUGGAGGGUCAUUGGAAACUGGAAAACUUGAGUGCAGAAGAGGAAAGUGGAAUUCCAUGUGUAGCGGUGAAAUGCGCAGAGAUGUGGAGGAACACCAGUGGCGAAGGCGACUUUCUGGUCUGUAACUGACGCUGAUGUGCGAAAGCGUGGGGAUCAAACAGGAUUAGAUACCCUGGUAGUCCACGCCGUAAACGAUGAGUGCUAAGUGUUAGGGGGUUUCCGCCCCUUAGUGCUGCAGCUAACGCAUUAAGCACUCCGCCUGGGGAGUACGACCGCAAGGUUGAAACUCAAAGGAAUUGACGGGGGCCCGCACAAGCGGUGGAGCAUGUGGUUUAAUUCGAAGCAACGCGAAGAACCUUACCAAAUCUUGACAUCCUUUGACAACUCUAGAGAUAGAGCCUUCCCCUUCGGGGGACAAAGUGACAGGUGGUGCAUGGUUGUCGUCAGCUCGUGUCGUGAGAUGUUGGGUUAAGUCCCGCAACGAGCGCAACCCUUAAGCUUAGUUGCCAUCAUUAAGUUGGGCACUCUAAGUUGACUGCCGGUGACAAACCGGAGGAAGGUGGGGAUGACGUCAAAUCAUCAUGCCCCUUAUGAUUUGGGCUACACACGUGCUACAAUGGACAAUACAAAGGGCAGCGAAACCGCGAGGUCAAGCAAAUCCCAUAAAGUUGUUCUCAGUUCGGAUUGUAGUCUGCAACUCGACUACAUGAAGCUGGAAUCGCUAGUAAUCGUAGAUCAGCAUGCUACGGUGAAUACGUUCCCGGGUCU
This 1372-nucleotide ribosomal RNA is filed under the name uncultured bacterium. RNAcentral's name for it is "bacterial SSU rRNA". It matches the Rfam family "Bacterial small subunit ribosomal RNA", at positions 28 to 1381 of the family's 1533-position model. The record is from RNAcentral.